This 744-nucleotide ribosomal RNA is filed under the name uncultured bacterium. Its description in RNAcentral is "bacterial SSU rRNA". It matches the Rfam family "Bacterial small subunit ribosomal RNA", at positions 8 to 796 of the family's 1533-position model. The record is from RNAcentral.
AGAGUUUGAUCCUGGCUCAGAACGAACGCUGGCGGCAGGCCUCAAACAUGCAAGUCUAGGGGGUGUAGCAAUACAUCACCGGCGGACGGGUGCGUAACACGUGGGAAUAUACCUUUUGGUUCGGAACAACGCUGGGAAACUUGCGCUAAUACCGAAUGUGCCCUUACGGGGAAAGAUCUAUCGCCAAAGGAUUAGCCCGCGUAGGAUUAGCUAGUUGGUGAGGUAAUGGCUCACCAAGGCUCCGAUCCUUAGCUGUUCUGAGAGGAAGAUCAGCCACACUGGGACUGAGACACGGCCCAGACUCCUACGGGAGGCAGCAGUUGGGAAUCUUGGACAAUGGGGGAAACCCUAAUCCAGCCAUGCCGCGUGAGUGAUGAAGGCCUUCGGGUUGUAAAACUCUUUCGACGGGGACGAUAAUGACGGUACCCGUAGAAGAAGCUCCGGCUAACUUCGUGCCAGCAGCCGCGGUAAUACGAAGGGGGCUAGCGUUGUUCGGAAUUACUGGGCGUAAAGCGCGCGCAGGCGGCUAUCCAAGUCAGUGGUGAAAGCCCGGAGCUCAACUCCGGAACUGCCAUUGAAACUGUUUAGCUUGAGGACGAGAGAGGUGAGUGGAAUUCCCAGUGUAGAGGUGAAAUUCGUAGAUAUUGGGAAGAACACCGGUGGCGAAGGCGGCUCACUGGCUCGUAUCUGACGCUCACGCGCGACAGCGUGGGGAUCAAACAGGAUUAGAUACCCUGGUAGUCC